GUAUCAAGUGCUACGCCCGGACGAACUUCCCAGCUCGGCCGACAAUCAGGGGUCGGUGGGAUCUUCGUCCGUUUGUAUCGCUUAUAC
This is a non-coding RNA of Bombyx mori (domestic silkworm), 87 nucleotides long. RefSeq annotates it as microRNA mir-278. NCBI's taxonomy places the organism in Eukaryota, Metazoa, Arthropoda, Insecta, Lepidoptera, Bombycidae. The transcript has a single exon. The record is from RefSeq and is marked provisional.